RNAcentral lists this ribosomal RNA (459 nucleotides) under uncultured bacterium. RNAcentral's name for it is "partial 16S ribosomal RNA". It matches the Rfam family "Bacterial small subunit ribosomal RNA", at positions 338 to 795 of the family's 1533-position model. The record is from RNAcentral.
CCUACGGGGUGCAGCAGUGAGGAAUAUUGGUCAAUGGGCGCGAGCCUGAACCAGCCAAGUCGCGUGAGGGAAGACGGUCCUAUGGAUUGUAAACCUCUUUUGUCGGGGAGCAAAAGACGCCACGCGUGGCGUUCCGAGAGUACCCGAAGAAAAAGCAUCGGCUAACUCCGUGCCAGCAGCCGCGGUAAUACGGAGGAUGCGAGCGUUAUCCGGAUUUAUUGGGGUUAAAGGGGGCGCAGGCGGAAGAUCAAGUCAGCGGUAAAAUUGAGAGGCUCAACCUCUUCGAGCCGUUGAAACUGGUGUUCUUGAGUGAGUGAGAAGUAUGCGGAAUGCGUGGUGUAGCGGUGAAAUGCAUAGAUAUCACGCAGAACUCCGAUUGCGAAGGCAGCAUACCGGCGCUCAACUGACGCUCAUGCACGAAAGUGUGGGUAUCGAACAGGAUUAGAUACCCUUGUAGUC